UUUCAGUAGGUGAACCUGCGGAAGGAUCAUUCAUAAUAAAGUGUUUUAUGGCACUUUUUAAAAAUCCAUAUCCACCUUGUGUGCAAUGUUAGAUCUCGUCAAUCUUGGCGAGAUUUUUAUACAUCAACUCAUUCUUUAACUAAUUUGUCUGAAAAAUAUUAUGAAUACUUAAUUCAAAAUACAACUUUCAACAACGGAUCUCUUGGCUCUC
This 211-nucleotide unclassified non-coding RNA is filed under the name plant metagenome. RNAcentral describes it as "partial contains small subunit ribosomal RNA, internal transcribed spacer 1, and 5.8S ribosomal RNA". The record is from RNAcentral.